This 222-nucleotide ribosomal RNA is filed under the name uncultured bacterium. RNAcentral describes it as "partial 16S ribosomal RNA". It matches the Rfam family "Bacterial small subunit ribosomal RNA", at positions 28 to 247 of the family's 1533-position model. The record is from RNAcentral.
GACGAACGCUGGCGGCGUGCUUAACACAUGCAAGUCGAGCGGGUAAGGCCCUUUCGGGGGUACACGAGGCGGCGAACGGGUGAGUAACACGUGGGUGACCUGCCCUCAGCUCUGGGAUAAGCCUGGGAAACCGGGUCUAAUACUGGAUAUGACUCCAAUGACGCGAUGUUGUGGGGUGGAAAGCCUUGUGCGGCUGAGGAUGGGCCCGCGGCCUAUCAGCUU